AUCAGGAAGAAAAGUAAUAGUGAAGCUGGCCUGAAUGUUGUAAUCUGGUAUAUGGCAUGUGGGCUAGUUUCAGACAGGU
Molecule: small nucleolar RNA, 79 nt
Organism: Rhinopithecus bieti (black snub-nosed monkey)
Lineage: Eukaryota; Metazoa; Chordata; Mammalia; Primates; Cercopithecidae
Source: Ensembl